RNAcentral lists this ribosomal RNA (301 nucleotides) under uncultured bacterium. RNAcentral describes it as "partial 16S ribosomal RNA". It matches the Rfam family "Bacterial small subunit ribosomal RNA", at positions 509 to 809 of the family's 1533-position model. The record is from RNAcentral.
CAGUAGCCGCGGUAAUACGUAGGGUGCGAGCGUUAAUCGGAAUUACUGGGCGUAAAGGGCGCGUAGGCGGGCGAAUAAGUCAGGGGUGAAAUCCCAAGGCUCAACCUUGGAACUGCCUUUGAUACUGUUUGUCUUGAGUUCGAGAGAGGUAAGUGGAACUGCGAGUGUAGAGGUGAAAUUCGUAGAUAUUCGCAAGAACACCAGUGGCGAAGGCGGCUUACUGGCUCGAAACUGACGCUGAGGAGCGAAAGCGUGGGGAGCGAACAGGAUUAGAUACCCCGGUAGUCCCUGUCUCUUAUAA